UAGGGNGCACUCCACAAUGGGCGCAAGCCUGAUGGAGCAACACCGCGUGAGUGAAGAAGGGUUUCGGCUCGUAAAGCUCUGUUGUUAAAGAAGAACACGUAUGAGAGUAACUGUUCAUACGUUGACGGUAUUUAACCAGAAAGUCACGGCUAACUACGUGCCAGCAGCCGCGGUAAUACGUAGGUGGCAAGCGUUAUCCGGAUUUAUUGGGCGUAAAGAGAGUGCAGGCGGUUUUCUAAGUCUGAUGUGAAAGCCUUCGGCUUAACCGGAGAAGUGCAUCGGAAACUGGAUAACUUGAGUGCAGAAGAGGGUAGUGGAACUCCAUGUGUAGCGGUGGAAUGCGUAGAUAUAUGGAAGAACACCAGUGGCGAAAGCGGCUCUCUGGUCUGUAACUGACGCUGAGGUUCGAAAGCGUGGGUAGCAAACAGGAUUAGAUACCCUGGUAGUCCACGCCGUAAACGAUGAAUGCUAGGUGUUGGAGGGUUUCCGCCCUUCAGUGCCGCAGCUAACGCAAUAAGCAUUCCGCCUGGGGAGUACGACCGCAAGGUUG
This 550-nucleotide ribosomal RNA is filed under the name uncultured bacterium. RNAcentral's name for it is "bacterial SSU rRNA". It matches the Rfam family "Bacterial small subunit ribosomal RNA", at positions 355 to 896 of the family's 1533-position model. The record is from RNAcentral.